GUUUGGCACUGUCAACUGUGGGACCUUAUAUAGACAGGUGUGUGCCUUUCCAAAUCAUGUCCAAUCAAUUGAAUUUACCACAAGUGGACCAAUCAAGUUGUAGAAACAGCUCAAGGAUUAUCAAUGGAAACAGGAUGCACCUGAGCUCAAUUUCGAGUCUCAUAGCAAAGGGUCUGAAUACUUAUGUAAAUAAGGACUACUGUCCAAGUAAAUUUUGGGCGGUGGGGUUUAAUUAACCCAUGGUUUUCUGGCAGAAGAGGGCCUGGACGGCAUCAAAACCACACUGAUCUGUCCUUAUAUUGUCGACACUGGCAUGUUCGCUGGCUGCGAGAUGAGGAAGGAGCUGCGGGGUUUGAUUCCCCCCUGGACACAGUGCAGACAACCAUGGCUGCCAUCCUUGUGGACAAGCACAUGAUCUUCAUACUAUGCUUUAUGUACAUACAGUACCCUGAAUUACACAAGCACUGCUUCCUUGGGAGGCCAACGUUGCGAAGUACCGCUUCAUGGGAGGUGACAAGUGCAUGCUGCCCUUCAUCAAGACAAUGGAGCAGAAGGCUGCCUCUACCAACAGCCAUGCUAAAUCCUCAUAGGACCAAUCCUUCCUGCCCAAAUGGGUUUUGUCACCAAAUAGCAACACUACCUGCACACCAAAGGGUCAGUUGAAACAAUCUUACCUUGACAGG
RNAcentral lists this long non-coding RNA (683 nucleotides) under Salmo salar (Atlantic salmon). RNAcentral describes it as "lncRNA (ENSSSAG00000088946.1)". Lineage: Eukaryota; Metazoa; Chordata; Actinopteri; Salmoniformes; Salmonidae. The record is from RNAcentral.